Molecule: long non-coding RNA, 1572 nt
Filed under: Daphnia pulicaria
Lineage: Eukaryota; Metazoa; Arthropoda; Branchiopoda; Diplostraca; Daphniidae
Description: uncharacterized LOC124352582, transcript variant X10
Source: RNAcentral
CAACGCUGUCUGACUGACGGUUAGGGAACAACCGAAGACCGAACGAAGCUUCUUUGGGAAGUGUAAUCGUUUGAAAGAUUCAUUGUAGACCCAAUCUUCAAAUUCCUAACAUGUUGAAAUCUUACAUGCCAAGUAAUGGACAAGUGCAGCGGGUUGGAGGAAUAAGGGUUGUGGUGCCUUGAAGAUGACGUAUUUGGAAGGUUGAUUCCUGACCUCACUUGGCUUUGCACUGGCUGGUUGUAUCUUCCAGGAUUCACUGCUUUAAUGUUAUUGAGGAAUUAAGAGAAGAUUCCAUGGCAAGACAUUUCGUGGAGGGUGGAUGUCGACUUUUACUGCUGUGGAGGAGGCAGUGGGCGUGAAUUACACCAGAUGAGAUCCAAUUAUUAAGGUGUUGGCGAUUCUUAAGACCCACUCGAGUCCCUGAUAAUUUAGGUUGUUUUGUUUAAUAACCGCAGUCGGUUGUUGAGCUAAUGUCCCAGGAACAAUGGAGUUUCAUUUUCUUUCGUUUCUAGAAGUUUGCUGCUGGUGAUUUCAUGAUCUACGUAGUAGGUGAUGUGGUAUUGCUUCUUGGUCAACGUCAUCGGAAUUGGACGAGUUCAUGUCAUACAAGAUGGACUGGUUUAUCGUUCGGUGUUUUUUUUUCUGACGCAAUCUUCAUAGGCUAUCAGUGUUUUAGGUUGCUCUGGCGUUAGUGUUGGAAUACUUAUGCCGGUGGAGUUAUUGGAUAUGUUGCGUUGUUGGUUAAAUUUUUCUUAUUACGACAUUCUUAGGACAAUUUAAUAUGUACCCGUGAUCGAUGUUUGUCUUAAGUUUUUGUGUGAGAGAGUAUUUUAUUUAAUGAUUUGGUUUAUCUAGGUUACGGUUCUACGGUCUAUUGGAUUGAUUUCUUUUAUUGACGUUUUCGUGAUAGAUGCCUGUUACCAAGGACUCUGUGGCAAUGCGAUGCAUCAGUCUGCUACCACAAUCUGUGGAGAUAGUGACAUGGUGUUAUCCUGAAAUGGAGAACCGAGACCUGAAGUGGAUCGUAAGAAGACUUCUUGAAAUGUCUGUUCAAGGUAUCGUCGGAAAGGAGUCUGUGAUUCCUGUGUUAUCCUGGGGUAUGUUGGCGUUCUGACUAUGCUUGUUGCUGCUUGUUUGUGAUUAGUGUAUUGUAUGAGCAGUCCAUAAUGUCGAUAAGUGCAUAUCUCCGCUCUUUUCUUUUCAUUGGCCCCGUUUCCCCAACUAACUAACGCCAUCCGGUGAUCACUCACCCGCUGUGACAACCAGCAGAAGAGGGCUCUGGUCGAACGGACGGGUCGAACUGGAUGCUUUGAGGGUUAUGAAUCCAACCCGGAAACCUAUUAUGACUACAUCUUCUCAGCAAAACUGUCCUUGCAUUUCUUUUUCCGUCCUGUGCAUGGUCAGUAAAGGACGAGUCUCCUGUCCUCCUGUCUUCGUUGACUGAAUUUGCAAGUUUUAGCAAGCAAUUUGCUAAUACAGAGCGACUACAAUUAUACAUUUCAGAUAAUAUCCAGAUAAAUAUUGUAUUUUUUAAGUUUAUUUUGCUAUGAAUACAUUAUUAAUUUCCCCAUA